UAAAUGAAUCCGACAACUUCCGGUAUAUUUUUCGACCUACUUCACGAGCAUAAUUAUCAGCCUGUUAAGCUCAUAAGGGAAAUAAAAGAUCAUUUACUUUAAUAUUCACUUGAAAAGGCUGGUACAUGUAACUAGAAAAAAGUACAGUAUAAGAUUAAAGAAAGACUAGAAGAUUAUUACAAAGAACAGGUGGACAUGUGUCACUGUCAAGCGAAUGAAGAUAAGCAUCACACUCGGUGGGAAUCUCCAGUUUCCAGAUGUAGUGAUCAUAACUGUAUAGGCACCAUUAACACUUUGGACUAGUUGGAGUAUUUUAGAGGGCUAGUCUGAAUUGAAUCGCCUGUCAAUAGUAAAGGCCAGUCAUGAACAUUGUGUUGAAGGAAAAUGUUAAAACUCGGAUUUUCCGCUUAACCAAUCAUUACUUUACCUUAUAUUCAGUGCGGUAAUGUAGGAAAUGGUUACUUUCUGGAACGGAGCUGUCAAUUAUUUUUAAUUUUUUAGCUUGUUAGUGUUAUCGUCGGACAGUUGUGAAGUAAAGACAUCGCAGUUUGACUGUAUACAAGUUGCCUUAAAGAAAGUAUGUCGAAAUCUUAACAGUUAUUCGUUGAUUUUGUAGAAAUUGACCAGAAUUCACCUUUGUUUACACGCAUCGCUUGGACGUCGAAAACGACAUGCAAUGACAUUUCAGUGAAAUUUGGAAACUUGCUCGUAUUUUGGAGCAUUUUGUAGGAUUUCGAUGAAGUAAAAAGUGUUUAUGAUAGGAUACAUUAUUCCUAGAGACAACCACAAAGAUAAAAUAGUGAUCUGGUGUAUUUUUACCGAACAGUUCUUGUUUGUUUUGCAUGAUAUAUUUCUCUCGUUAGGGACCUUUAUUCUUUAUAUAUAGUAUUAUGAGCGUAUAUGGGUAAAUGUGGUAUAUUGUGCCUGUGGUUUUAACAUGUAUCUUAGCUUGCCUGGUGUAAUGAUAAGUAAUAAACCUGAGAAUUGAAACUAUGAGAAUAAAUUGUUGUUAUUAGUCCCCUUCUAUUUUCAUUAAGAGGGGACUAAAGGCUGACCCAUUUCUGUAUGUCAAUGAAAGCUGAAUUUUGCUAUAACUUAAAUGGUACAAAAGUUAGGUUCAUCAUACUGGUAUCUGAUAUAGAACUAUACAGAGAUUUAGCAUGUUAUUAUAAUUUAUGCUCCUGAAAGGGAGAGAAUAUAGUUGCGGUCUUAACCAUCUGUCGGUAUGGACUCAAGUAAUAUUCUGGAUAAAUAUCUGUGUUCAUUCCAUACAGACUUGUACUUUUGGGGAAAAAGGUUGCUCAUGGGAGGAAAAUAUGUUUUUAAUGGUGUUUUUGAGAUUUUAGUUGAUAAAGGAAAAAAAACAUAGUCUGUACUUAGGAAGA
Molecule: long non-coding RNA, 1385 nt
Organism: Ruditapes philippinarum (Manila clam)
Lineage: Eukaryota; Metazoa; Mollusca; Bivalvia; Venerida; Veneridae
Exons: 3
Source: RefSeq, a predicted model, not a curated record